This 363-nucleotide long non-coding RNA is filed under the name Capsella rubella. RNAcentral's name for it is "long non-coding RNA (CRUB_LNC004637)". Lineage: Eukaryota; Viridiplantae; Streptophyta; Magnoliopsida; Brassicales; Brassicaceae. The record is from RNAcentral.
GGUUUCAGAUAUAUUUAUGAUGUUGCAAAUUGAGACGAGGAUAAAAGUAUUCUUAAUGUAGAAAACAAAAUGUCGUUAACAGUUGGACGCGAACGAAACCAUGCGAACCGAGUUCUACGUACGAAAUAUUUCUUUUUUUUUUCUUUGACUUGAGGAAAAAAAAAAGAAACAUUCCACGAUUAAUAUAAGGAACGUAGUCUUAUCGAGAAUUGUAGUCUCGUUGAAGUAGAAUUGAAUAUUUUUGUAGCAUCUAUGUAUGAUGAUACUAGGAAAUAUCCUCCAUGUGAAAAUUCUUUAAUACAAGAAGAAAAAAUAAAGAAACAAAAAACCAAAAAACCAAAAAACCAAAAAAAAAACUGACGA